Molecule: unclassified non-coding RNA, 336 nt
Filed under: soil metagenome
Description: partial contains 5.8S ribosomal RNA, internal transcribed spacer 2, and large subunit ribosomal RNA
Rfam family: 5.8S ribosomal RNA (bases 1-120)
Source: RNAcentral
GAUGAAGAACGCAGCGAAAUGCGAUAAGUAGUGUGAAUUGCAGAAUUCAGUGAAUCAUCGAAUCUUUGAACGCACAUUGCGCCCCUUGGUAUUCCAUGGGGCAUGCCUGUUCGAGCGUCAUUUGUACCUUCAAGCUUUGCUUGGUGUCGGGUGUUUGUCUCGCCUUUGCGUGUAGACUCGCCUUAAAAUAAUUGGCAGCCGGCGUAUUGAUUUCGGAGCGCAGUACAUCUCGCGCUUUGCACUCAUAACGACAGCGUCCAAAAGUACAUUUUACACUCUUGACCUCGGAUCAGGUAGGGAUACCCGCUGAACUUAAGCAUAUCAAUAAGCGGAGGA